GAUAACGGCACAAUCCUAUUCUAGGGUCCGUAUCAACAAUGGGUUUACAGCUUCAAUGCUGGAUCAGGACAUCCUAAUGGCGUAGCCGCUAUUAAGGGUUCGUUUUUUCAACUAUUAAAGUCCCAUGUGAUCUCAGUUCAGAUCGGAGUAAUCCAGGUC
This 159-nucleotide non-coding RNA is filed under the name Pan paniscus (pygmy chimpanzee). RNAcentral describes it as "Bacterial large subunit ribosomal RNA". It matches the Rfam family "Bacterial large subunit ribosomal RNA", at positions 2473 to 2632 of the family's 2925-position model. Lineage: Eukaryota; Metazoa; Chordata; Mammalia; Primates; Hominidae. RNAcentral also lists the same sequence under 1 other name. The record is from Rfam by way of RNAcentral.